RNAcentral lists this unclassified non-coding RNA (272 nucleotides) under Hevea brasiliensis (rubber tree). Lineage: Eukaryota; Viridiplantae; Streptophyta; Magnoliopsida; Malpighiales; Euphorbiaceae. The record is from RNAcentral.
GGAUAGCAUCAAUCUGAGUAAGCUGUUUCAGAAGGAUAAAACAUCACUUUCAGAGGAAAAAUGUAGUCAGGAUGGACAUGGAUCUCAACUCAAGAAGACGUCCGAAGUAAAUUCUCCGAUUAAAAAUGAAGAAGUAGAUCGCACACCUACUAGGAAGAGAAAGAAUGAAAACCAGAGUGAAAAAAAAGGAAAAGGCACUGACAAGGCUUUAACGAAGAGAAGAGCAUUGGAGAAGCCUUUUACAGAUAAAGAACCCAGUCAUUCAGUCUGUA